RNAcentral lists this non-coding RNA (30 nucleotides) under Mus musculus (house mouse). Lineage: Eukaryota; Metazoa; Chordata; Mammalia; Rodentia; Muridae. The record is from RNAcentral.
UNGAGGCCAAGAGCUCAGGUGUCCACCAGU